Molecule: ribosomal RNA, 253 nt
Filed under: uncultured bacterium
Lineage: Bacteria
Description: partial 16S ribosomal RNA
Rfam family: Bacterial small subunit ribosomal RNA
Source: RNAcentral
UACGGGGGGGGCAAGCGUUGUUCGGAAUUACUGGGCGUAAAGGGCUCGUAGGCGGCCAACUAAGUCAGACGUGAAAUCCCUCGGCUUAACCGGGGAACUGCGUCUGAUACUGGAUGGCUUGAGAUUGGGAGAGGGAUGCGGAAUUCCAGGUGUAGCGGUGAAGUGCGUAGAUAUCUGGAGGAACACCGGUGGCGAAGGCGACAUCCUGGACCAACACUGACGCUGAGGAGCGAAAGCCAGGGGAGCAAACGGG